CAGGUUAGGAGCAGGCAGUCAGGGAGAAACAGUCAGGUUAGGAGCAGGCAGUCAGGGAGAAACAGUCAGGUUAAGAGCAGGAGGUCAGGGAGAAACAGUCAGUUUAGGAGCAGGCAGUCAGGGAGAAACAGUCAGGUUAGGAGCAGGCAGUCAGGGUGAAACAGUCUGGUUAGGAGCAGGCAGUCAGGGUGAAACAGUCAGGUUAGGAGCAGGCAGUCAGUGAGAAACAGUCAGGUUAGGAGCAGGCAGUCAUGGUGAAACAGUCUGGUUAGGAGCAGGCAGUCAAGGUGAAACAGUCAGGUUAGGAGCAGGCAGUCAGUGAGAAACAGUCAGGUUAGGAGCAGGCAGUCAGUGA
Oncorhynchus tshawytscha (Chinook salmon) is the source of this 355-nucleotide long non-coding RNA. The record is from Ensembl. NCBI's taxonomy places the organism in Eukaryota, Metazoa, Chordata, Actinopteri, Salmoniformes, Salmonidae.